AACAGUAGUGUGGCCAUCUCCGAGUCCCUCGCAGCUCCAAACCAUCUAAGCUUAGGGAUUACCUGCACAGUUAGAAACAGGUGAGUUUACGAAAACUCAGUGUGUAAUCCCAAUAACAAACAAGUAGUGAAAACACAGUAUCAGUACAAUCUGGGCCAAAGCCCUAUUCAGUCUCGACAUAUACUGGGCCGAAGCCUUUCGUUUAACGGUUACUGGGCCGAAGCCUUUUCAUAAAUCAAAUCACUGGGCCGAAGCCUUUUCAUAAAUCAUAUCACUGGGCCGAAGCCUUUAUUGUAAACGGUAUGGCCCAUAGGCCCAUUUCAAUAACACAUGAAAUAUCAAUAAAUGUAUGCAAGCCCAUUUCAAUAUCACAUGAAAUACCAAUGAAUGUAUGCAAGCCCAUUUCGGGAGACUACUUAACCCACCAUCCGCUACUCUCGACCCGUACCAACCAACACACCAUGUGGGGAAUAACUCAACCCACCCAACCAACACACUACUGGCAGCAUAGCUGCUUUAUCAUAUAUCUGGAGGCCUAGCCUCUUUAAUAACUGGGGGAAAGCCCUUUUCGGUAAACUGGGGUAAAGCCCUUUUCAAUAAACUAGGGUAUAAGCCCUUUUCGGUAAACUGGGGCAUAAGCCCUUUUGCACUUCCUCCAUCCAUAUAAAGACCCAACCCAAUGCAUUUAUGAAUUCAUCAUGUGCAUUUCAUACAUAUCAUGUGCAUAUCAUAUCAAUCAUCUAUAUCAUAUCCCACGUAUCAAAUUUAUAAUUACACCCUAGGGGUAUAAUGGUCAUUUUUACCUAGGGGCAAAAUAAUCAUUUUCACAUUAUAAGGGUAAUUUCGUAAUUUUACCAAAUAUCAGGGUUUUCCGUGUUCAUCAACAAUUAUCAAUAUUUCUGAGUGUUUAACAAUGAUCUUUAACCCACUUUAUCAAACUCGGGCUUUUGGGCCCAAAACCUCUAAUGGGCCCUACGAAUGCCGAUUUAGCCCACUAAGCCUGCUUAAUCCAAAUUUUACAACAGUACUAACCGUGUUAACAUACAACUUUUCCAGAUUCCAUUUUCUAUCAGUUUUACCCAAAUGGGCCCGAAGCCCAUUGGGCCCGAUUCCAGCCCAUUGCGGCCCAACUUACCAUCGUGCACAAAAUUGAGUUCUUACCUGUUCCAUCGAUCCAAACACCGAUCAUAUCGUAUUUAUCGCAUCUAUACCCAAACGCAACAUUACAAGUUCCCGAAAUAUAGGUAUUUUAGCAUUUCGGCUUCUCAGCAAAUAUUAAUCUAAGCUAUUACGAAGGUUAGUACACACCUGUUACGGGUUGAAGUUGAAACGUUUCCAAAAUCAAUUGCCUAUGAUAACCACCACCUGUCACUCAAAC
Molecule: long non-coding RNA, 1378 nt
Filed under: Gossypium barbadense (sea-island cotton)
Lineage: Eukaryota; Viridiplantae; Streptophyta; Magnoliopsida; Malvales; Malvaceae
Description: long non-coding RNA (GBAR_LNC010748)
Source: RNAcentral